This 497-nucleotide long non-coding RNA is filed under the name Salmo salar (Atlantic salmon). RNAcentral describes it as "lncRNA (ENSSSAG00000091001.1, ENSSSAG00020073546.1)". Lineage: Eukaryota; Metazoa; Chordata; Actinopteri; Salmoniformes; Salmonidae. The record is from RNAcentral.
CUGGUCUUUUCAAACAGCUCUUACACUAAAAGGGCAUUAUCAUCAUUGUCACAAUUUCACAGUAUUAUUCCAACCACAGCAUGGAAAUAGAUAUAAAACACAGGAAAAUCAAGUUUCUGACUGCACUCGGCCUUCAAAUGGUUUUGGUGCUUGAUUUGCUGUCAGUGUUCCAGACAGAAGUAGACAAGAAAUGACGUCCAUCCAUGUCUGAGGAUGUUGGGAGAUGACGUGGAACCCGGCCACUAGGGGCAACAGUGAGCUCUGUUACCUUCAAGACUCAGUAUAUCCAGCGGCUGAUAUGGGCAGAACAAAGGAUUCAAAAACAACAACAACAAAGGCCAUUGGUGGUCAAGCCUUUUUCUAUGAAGAAGUCAUGUCCCGGUCGUGGAUGGCGUCUGAGAGGACUUCUAUCUGCAGCACAGAGAGGAGUGUCGCAAUGCACUUGGGAUAUGUGAGGUGAAAGGCGUAAUAACAUGCCAUGAGAUAUGUCACGCUGG